CGGCGGACGGGUGAGUAAUGCCUAGGAAUCUGCCUGGUAGUGGGGGACAACGUUUCGAAAGGAACGCUAAUACCGCAUACGUCCUACGGAGAAAGCAGGGGACCUUCGGGCCUUGCGCUAUCAGAUGAGCCUAGGUCGGAUUAGCUAGUUGGUGAGGUAAUGGCUCACCAAGGCGACGAUCCGUAACUGGUCUGAGAGGAUGAUCAGUCACACUGGAACUGAGACACGGUCCAGACUCCUACGGGAGGCAGCAGGC
Molecule: ribosomal RNA, 256 nt
Filed under: uncultured Pseudomonas sp.
Lineage: Bacteria; Pseudomonadati; Pseudomonadota; Gammaproteobacteria; Pseudomonadales; Pseudomonadaceae
Description: partial 16S ribosomal RNA
Rfam family: Bacterial small subunit ribosomal RNA
Source: RNAcentral